This 460-nucleotide ribosomal RNA is filed under the name uncultured bacterium. Its description in RNAcentral is "partial 16S ribosomal RNA". It matches the Rfam family "Bacterial small subunit ribosomal RNA", at positions 338 to 795 of the family's 1533-position model. The record is from RNAcentral.
CCUACGGGAGGCAGCAGUGAGGAAUAUUGGUCAAUGGGCGGAAGCCUGAACCAGCCAAGCAGCGUGAAGGAUGACGGCCCUACGCGUUGUAAACUGCUUUUGUAAAGGAAUAAAGUGACGCACGUGUACUUAUUUGUAUGUACUUUAUGAAUAAGGAUAGGCUAACUCCGUGCCAGCAGCCGCGGUAAUACGGAGGAUCCGAGCGUUAUCCGGAUUUAUUGGGUUUAAAGGGAGCGUAGAUGGGUUGGUAAGUCAGUUGUGAAAGGCUGGGGCUCAACCGUGAAAUUGCAAUUGAUACUGGUAGUCUAGAGUACAGGUGGGGUAGGCGGAAUUCGUGGUGUAGCGGUGAAAUGCUUAGAGAUCAGGAAGAACACCGAUUGCGAAGGCAGCUUACUAAACUGCCACUGACGUUGAGGCUCGAAAGCGUGGGGAGCAAACAGGAUUAGAUACCCUAGUAGUC